GGACUACCCGGGUUUCUAAUCCUGUUUGAUCCCCACGCUGUCGCGCCUGAGCGUCAGUAACGGACCAGUGAGCCGCCUUCGCCACCGGUGUUCUUCCCAAUAUCUACGAAUUUCACCUCUACACUGGGAAUUCCACUCACCUCUUCCGUACUCGAGCCGAGCAGUUUCAAAGGCAAUUCCGGAGUUGAGCUCCGGGAUUUCACCCCUGACUUGAACGGCCGCCUGCGCGCGCUUUACGCCCAGUAAUUCCGAACAACGCUAGCCCCCUUCGUAUUACCGCGGCUGCUGGCAC
RNAcentral lists this ribosomal RNA (292 nucleotides) under uncultured bacterium. RNAcentral's name for it is "partial 16S ribosomal RNA". The record is from RNAcentral.